GGGAGUGCCCUUCGGGGAACCUGGAGACAGGUGCUGCAUGGGCUGUCGUCAGCUCGUGUCGUGAGGUGUCGGGUUAAGUCCCAUAACGAGCGCAACCCUUAUCGUUAGUUGCCAGCUGGUAAAGCAGGGGACUCUAGCGAAACUGCCACCGUAAGGUGAGAGGAAGGUGGGAUGACGUCAAAUCAGCACGGCCCUUAUGUCCAGGGCUACACACGUGUUACAAUGGCCGGCACAGAGGGCAGCUACCUGGUGACAGGAUGCUAAUCUCGAAAACCGGUCUCAGUUCGGAUCGAAGUCUGCAACUCGACUUCGUGAAGCUGGAUUCGCUAGUAAUCGCGCAUCAGCCAUGGCCGCGGUCCGAAUACGUUCCGGCCUU
RNAcentral lists this ribosomal RNA (376 nucleotides) under uncultured Sphingobacteriales bacterium. RNAcentral's name for it is "bacterial SSU rRNA". It matches the Rfam family "Bacterial small subunit ribosomal RNA", at positions 1009 to 1374 of the family's 1533-position model. The record is from RNAcentral. Lineage: Bacteria; Pseudomonadati; Bacteroidota; Sphingobacteriia; Sphingobacteriales.